GAAGCCUUUUCUGGGUAGAAUGGCUGGAACUGGAUUUCUGUCCAUUUGUUUCUCCUGAUUGAGAGAGGAUGGGAGGGGGUGUUAACAUGGCCUGAGACGGACCCCCGCCAAAUAUUCUUCCUGGUAAUCCCAUCAUCAGGGAUGGAUGGGUUCAAGAAGCUAUUACAAAAGACAUAGAUGUAGCAGCCACUCCCAGGCUGGCCUCCCAAUUCCAUCCUCCUGCCUCAGCCUCCUAAUUCACUGAGAUCACAGGUCUGCGCCAUCCACUGUGCCUGGCUCCCUUUGAAACAAUUAGUUUUAUUGUAUCAAAGCAAUACAAAUUCACAAGUUUCAAAGUCAGAUUAUAAAACAUUUAGAAUAAAACAUUAGUUUCGGUUCCUCUCCUUCUGAUCUGUCCUGAGAGACCAAAGCUUUCGACUCCCUUAGCUGCUUCUUCGUCCCCAUCUCCACAGUUCCAGUCUUGAUGGUUACAGGUUCCCAGCUGUUCCAUGAUGCUCCCUCAUUAAUGGAUCAAGCGCAUGUGCAAAAGGAUGUGGCCCGGCUCUGCCGGGUGCCACGCAGCUCUCAGUGCGGUCUUCCCUUUGUGGACUCUUCACCAGCAUAAAAACGUGUAAAAUUGGCCGGGUAUGGUGGUGCACGCCUGUAAUCCCAGUGGCUGUGGCGGCUGAGGCAGGAGGAUCGCAGGUUUGAGGCCAGCUUCAGCAACUUAGUGAGGCAAUAAGCAACCUAGUGAGACCCUGUCUUGAAAUUAAAA
This 754-nucleotide long non-coding RNA is filed under the name Marmota monax (woodchuck). The record is from RNAcentral. Lineage: Eukaryota; Metazoa; Chordata; Mammalia; Rodentia; Sciuridae.